Molecule: ribosomal RNA, 497 nt
Filed under: uncultured bacterium
Lineage: Bacteria
Description: partial 16S ribosomal RNA
Rfam family: Bacterial small subunit ribosomal RNA
Source: RNAcentral
GAUGAACGCUGGCGGCGUGCCUAAUACAUGCAAGUCGAGCGAACAGACGAGGAUCUUGCGCCUCUGACGUUAGCGGCGGACGGGUGAGUAACACGUGUAUAACCUACCUAUCAGACUGGUAUAACUUCGGGAAACCGGAGCUAAUACCGUAUAAUAUAUUGAACCGCAGGGUUCAAUAGUGAAAGACGGUUUUGCUGUCUCUUAUAGAUGCAUCCGCGCCGGAUUAGCUAGUUGUUAAGUUAACGGCCUACCAAGGCAACGAUGCGUAGGCGACCUGAGGGGGUGAUCGGCCACACUGGAGCUGAGACACCGUCCAGACUCCUACGGGAGGCAGCAGUAGGGAAUGUUCCGCAAUGGGCGGAAGCCUGACGGAGCGAGGCCACGUCAGUGACGGAGGUCUUCGGAUCGUAAAAAUCUGUUAUUGGGGAAGAACAAAUGUGUAAGUAACUAUGCACGUAUUGACGGUAACUAAUCAGAAAGCCCCGGCUAACUACGUG